This 465-nucleotide ribosomal RNA is filed under the name Vreelandella stevensii. RNAcentral's name for it is "partial 16S ribosomal RNA". It matches the Rfam family "Bacterial small subunit ribosomal RNA", at positions 338 to 795 of the family's 1533-position model. Lineage: Bacteria; Pseudomonadati; Pseudomonadota; Gammaproteobacteria; Oceanospirillales; Halomonadaceae. The record is from RNAcentral.
CCUACGGGUGGCAGCAGUGGGGAAUAUUGGACAAUGGGCGAAAGCCUGAUCCAGCCAUGCCGCGUGUGUGAAGAAGGCCUUCGGGUUGUAAAGCACUUUCAGUGGGGAAGAAAGCCUUGGGGCUAAUACCCUCGAGGAAGGACAUCACCCACAGAAGAAGCACCGGCUAACUCCGUGCCAGCAGCCGCGGUAAUACGGAGGGUGAGAGCGUUAAUCGGAAUUACUGGGCGUAAAGCGCGCGUAGGCGGUCUGAUAAGCCGGUUGUGAAAGCCCCGGGCUCAACCUGGGAACGGCAUCCGGAACUGUCAGGCUAGAGUGCAGGAGAGGAAGGUAGAAUUCCCGGUGUAGCGGUGAAAUGCGUAGAGAUCGGGAGGAAUACCAGUGGCGAAGGCGGCCUUCUGGACUGACACUGACGCUGAGGUGCGAAAGCGUGGGUAGCAAACAGGAUUAGAUACCCCAGUAGUC